Styela clava is the source of this 678-nucleotide non-coding RNA. Lineage: Eukaryota; Metazoa; Chordata; Ascidiacea; Stolidobranchia; Styelidae. The record is from RefSeq and is a predicted model, not a curated record.
UUAGUUCAUUUGAUAUUAAUGUAACAGGAAGAAGAGAAAAAUAGCAACCAUCAUUUUUCCGGAUUUCAAAUAAAUUUCUUUCAAAUCAAAUUUUAAAAUAGAAUGUUCCAUGUGAAUAUGAAUCAAAUGUUGUUUUCGUGACAUGUUUUGGAACUUUUUAAAUUACUCGUUUAUUUAUGAAAGACUCGGUUUCCAACAAUUUAUCUUUUUGUCCUCAGAGCUCUCGAAGCAGAAAACUCGAAACUUUGUGAAAAACAGAAGUGGAAUUCGAACAAAGUCGCGAAUAUUUUGCGACUCAACUUGAUGUGGUUCAGGAUAAACUGAACAGAACAACACAAGCCUUGAAAUUAAUGCAGCAGAGUUUCAGAAUGCAGCAGAGUUUCAGAAUGCAGCAGAGUUUCAGAAUGCAUCAGAGUCUGAAUUCCAGUCCGUCAACGAUGAAUUGGAACAAAGAGUUCUGAAGGUCAAUCAUCUUGAAGACGAGAAGUCACAUCUGACGUCGGACGUUCAUGAAUCGACAAACAGAUUAACGGAAACUCUAAGUGCUUUACAGAGAACUCAGAAAUAAAAUGUAUGUGGUGGCAUCUAUGUAGGAUGGGGAAUUCCCUUGUGGGAGGAAGAUAUCAUAGUAUUAUUGUGAAAGUCUUUUUUUGGUUUAUCGAAUAUAUAGGGUGUCCA